Molecule: non-coding RNA, 82 nt
Organism: Cordylochernes scorpioides
Lineage: Eukaryota; Metazoa; Arthropoda; Arachnida; Pseudoscorpiones; Chernetidae
Source: the annotation of a GenBank genome assembly
UGAAGUAUGGAAAAGUGGACAAGGCACCUGCCCGGUAAGCAGAAGGGUGUGGGUUCGAUUCCCGCCCCUGGACACUUUUUAU